This 404-nucleotide ribosomal RNA is filed under the name Fusobacteriota bacterium. RNAcentral describes it as "Fusobacteria bacterium partial 16S ribosomal RNA". It matches the Rfam family "Bacterial small subunit ribosomal RNA", at positions 355 to 776 of the family's 1533-position model. Lineage: Bacteria; Fusobacteriati; Fusobacteriota. The record is from RNAcentral.
UGGGGAAUAUUGCACAAUGGAGGGAACUCUGAUGCAGCGACGCCGCGUGAGUGAUGAAGGAAUUCGUUUCGUAAAACUCUGUUCUAUGGGAAGAAAAGGACUGUACCAUAGGAGAAAGCUCCGGCUAAAUACGUGCCAGCAGCCGCGGUAAUACGUAUGGAGCGAGCGUUGUCCGGAAUUAUUGGGCGUAAAGGGUGCGCAGGCGGCUUUACAAGUUGGAUGUGAAAUAUUGUGGCUCAACCACAAACGUGCAUCCAAAACUGCAAAGCUUGAGUUAAGGAGAGGUAAGUGGAAUUCCUGGUGUAGCGGUGGAAUGCGCAGAUAUCAGGAGGAAUACCGGUGGCGAAGGCGGGUCUCUGGGCUGUUACUGACGCUGAGGAGCGAAAGCGUGGGGAGCGAACAGG